AGAUCCCUAAGCGUGAAGACAGCUGACAUUUGCAUAGAUGGUGGAAAACAAGGGAGGAAAUAGCCAUUUUCUUUGUGAGUAGAUCUGCAGGUAGAAAGUCGUACUCCCAUUUCUCGGCCACCACACCACGACCUUCUUUCCAGGAACUUUCUUCGGCAGCAGAAAACAGAAAAACGCGCGGCAGACAUCAGAAAAGUGCGCGCAAGCGCAAAUACGCUAAGAGAGUGGGGCAGGCGGGAGAGGAGAGCGGGCAAAGAGAGCAGAACUCGCUUGAGAGAGAACUGAGUCAUCGACGCCGCUGCUUCACUCUUUUUUUCUUCUUCAUUUUACAUUUUUUUUUCUGCAACUUUUGCACUUUCUCGAAAAAAUUUUUCUUUGUUGUUGGAUAAUAUAUAUGGGGUAUUACUCACCGGACUGAGCCUGGGCAAUGACAUCGCGACCCUUGACGCACGGAAUGAUGGCGCGCUGUUGGAUGGCCGAUGGCUUCUC
This is a long non-coding RNA of Drosophila pseudoobscura, 489 nucleotides long. RefSeq lists it as uncharacterized. The transcript is spliced from 2 exons. Lineage: Eukaryota; Metazoa; Arthropoda; Insecta; Diptera; Drosophilidae. The record is from RefSeq and is a predicted model, not a curated record.